GUCUUGUGUUGGGUAAUUGCGCUAGUUUUACUAGUGAGGAAAGUCCGAACACUUGUCGAUCUUGUUCAUUCAAGAUCGACAGCCAAGUAGCGGGUAACGCCCGCCGUGAGCAAUCAUAGAGGUGCGAGCAGUGACGCUUAUGUUCGAAAGAACAAAGAAUCCAACUAGUUGGAUUAACUCUUUGGGUAACAAGGAGAUGAAACGGCCAAAUCCUUACUUAAGUGCAAAGCCGUAUUGCAAGAAAAUCUUGCAAGGUGCCGCUUGAGCUGAAUGGCGACAUUUGGCCCAGAUAAAUAAUUAUCGUCCCACCACAGUGGGAUACAGAAUUCGGCUUAUAGACACAAGAUGGCA
RNAcentral lists this RNase P RNA (351 nucleotides) under Candidatus Vogelbacteria bacterium. RNAcentral describes it as "RNase P RNA component class A". It matches the Rfam family "Bacterial RNase P class A". Rfam says of the family: Ribonuclease P (RNase P) is a ubiquitous endoribonuclease, found in archaea, bacteria and eukarya as well as chloroplasts and mitochondria. Its best characterised activity is the generation of mature 5'-ends of tRNAs by cleaving the 5'-leader elements of precursor-tRNAs. The record is from RNAcentral. Lineage: Bacteria; Candidatus Vogeliibacteriota.